ACUCAAAUGAAUUGACGGGGGCCCGCACAAGCGGUGGAGUAUGUGGUUUAAUUCGAAGCAACGCGCAGAACCUUACCUGGUCUUGACAUUGUGAGACAUCCGCAGAGAUGCGGCUUUCCCUUCGGGGACUCAUAAACAGGUGCUGCAUGGCUGUCGUCAGCUCGUGUUGUGAAAUGUUCGGUUAAGUCCGGCAACGAGCGCAACCCCUGUUCUUAGUUACCAGCAUUAAGUUGGGGACUCUAGGAAGACUGCCGGUGUUAAACCGGAGGAAGGCGGGGAUGACGUCAAGUCCUCAUGGCCCUUACGACCAGGGCUACACACGUACUACAAUGGUGGAAACAAAGAGUCGCAAACCGGCGACGGCAAGCUAAUCUCAAAAACACCAUCUCAGUCCGGAUUGAAGUCUGCAACUCGACUUCAUGAAGUUGGAAUCGCUAGUAAUCGCAGAUCAGCACGCUGCGGUGAAUACGUUCCCGGGCCUUGUACACACCGCCCGU
RNAcentral lists this ribosomal RNA (497 nucleotides) under uncultured bacterium. Its description in RNAcentral is "partial 16S ribosomal RNA". It matches the Rfam family "Bacterial small subunit ribosomal RNA", at positions 899 to 1397 of the family's 1533-position model. The record is from RNAcentral.